CAGAAUCCACUGGACUUUUUCACAUGUUGGGAGGACUGGGGAUUGAUAGAACAUUGCUUUUAAUUCACACAAACACUAAAUAUGUCUGGAUUACCAGCCCUUUUACCAUGGACUUUUUAAAAUAUUAAAGGGAUUAAGGGCUGUGGAACACUACACUGGCUGCUGGGGGAGCCCCUGGUCAAUGGGAGUUGCCUAGAAUUCUCCAGUGCAACCACCCCCACACUGUCCAUAGCUCUUAUCUCCUUAAAGAUCAUCAGCUGGUGCUGGUGAACAUCGCUGGGACAGACCGUUCAUAAUGGGAAGACCUGGCAGCACGUAUUCGCUCUGAAUAAGGGUGUCUGCUAAAUGCCACAAAUGUAAUUGUAAAUGUAUGGGACUACGGUCCCUGCGCAUCACUAACCAGCUCCUACAUCGCUGGAGGUCCACACUAAGAGCAGAGGAGCGUGUUCAACUGAAGGACUACAAAAUUGGUGAGACUGGUUUUACAGAGGAGGAACCUUUUCCCCAGCUGGACAUCGCCAAUAACCUCGACGGGUGUGGAGGUUCCCCUCCUGUAGUGCAGGGGUGAAGGGCAGAUGAACUUUGGGACAGUGACGGGGAAGCUGCUCUACAGGGACUGUGUUAAGGUUUUAAAUAAGAAUAAACUGAGUGGGAGGGUGGACCCCCAGUGGAGACAUGUUCUUGGUUUUAAUCAUGAUAUUAUGAUGAUAUAUAAACUGUUGACCUCCAAUGGAGGAUUUUACACUGUAUCAUCUCUGUGAACUCUUUUAUUUCUGUUUUAAACCCUGAUGUUCUACAGGACGGUCCGUUCUGGUCACAGAGAGAAACUGGUUUUCACACUUUUACUCACUGCUUCAGGUUACAGUCACUGUUUCUGCUUUUAAAACGUAUUUAAAGUUCCUUUAAUGUGAUUUUACUCUUCAGUGUUUUAUUCUUGGUUUUAAGUACGUCAGGAGAAACAGGUUCAUGUGUAACUGAUGUAUUUUUGGGGAGGAGAAAAUGGCCACAUAGCUGAUCAGAGUUGAUGUUAAUGUGUAUGAGUGUGAGGGAGGUAAGGAUGUUUGAGAUUGUGUGGUGUUGUGGAGAAACUCUGUGUUCUGUGAGAGAUGAAGAAUUGUAUUUGCACCAGAAUUGAACUAAAUAAUCACACGCCCCUCCCCCGACAUUUAACUGUCAUUACCUGAUUUUAUUUGGCUAUUUAUCAUAUUACUUUUUUAUUAUUUACUUAUUUAUUUACUUAUUUAUAUAUUUAGACAAAUAAAAUCUGAUAUUAUCUGGCAUUAAACAUGAUUGUCAAAUCUAGAGUUAGGGUUUUUCUCUUGUAAAAAGUAAAAAAAAAGGUGUCUCUCUCUCUCUCUUUCUCUCUCUCUCUCUCUCUCUCUCUCUCGCACUGAGUUCCUCUCAGAGAGAAAGAGAAAGAAUAAAGUUAUCAUUUGGAGCCUGUAGGUGGACCAGACCGUGAGUGAUGACCAGCUGUUUGUGUUUUUGUAAAGUGCUCUUUUGUGUUAUUAAUUCUUGAAGAACUGUUUAGUGUCUGAUUCUGAAUGGCAGUGAUGUUGAACAGCAGCAGUACUACAACAUUCAGCCCUGAAUUAAAUUCUACAACUGAAU
Molecule: long non-coding RNA, 1611 nt
Organism: Silurus meridionalis
Lineage: Eukaryota; Metazoa; Chordata; Actinopteri; Siluriformes; Siluridae
Exons: 3
Source: RefSeq, a predicted model, not a curated record